Molecule: ribosomal RNA, 254 nt
Filed under: uncultured bacterium
Lineage: Bacteria
Description: partial 16S ribosomal RNA
Rfam family: Bacterial small subunit ribosomal RNA
Source: RNAcentral
UACGUAGGGGCCUAGCGUUGUCCGGAAUUAUUGGGCGUAAAGAGCUCGUAGGCGGUUCGGCAAGUCGGAUGUGAAAUCUCCACGCUUAACGUGGAGGGGCCAUUCGAAACUGCUGUGACUCGAGUCCGGUAGGGGAGUGUGGAAUUCCCGGUGUAGCGGUGAAAUGCGCAGAUAUCGGGAGGAACACCUGUGGCGAAAGCGGCUCACUGGACCACAACUGACGCUGAUGCACGAAAGCUAGGGGAGCAAACAGG